GCCAGGUGUGGGGGUGCAUGCCUGUAAUCCCAGCCACCUGGGAGACUGAGGCAGGAGGAUCACAAGUAUGAGGCCAGCCUCAGUGAGACCCUGCCUCAA
This 99-nucleotide small RNA is filed under the name Marmota monax (woodchuck). The record is from RNAcentral. Lineage: Eukaryota; Metazoa; Chordata; Mammalia; Rodentia; Sciuridae.